RNAcentral lists this ribosomal RNA (397 nucleotides) under uncultured bacterium. RNAcentral's name for it is "bacterial SSU rRNA". It matches the Rfam family "Bacterial small subunit ribosomal RNA", at positions 127 to 518 of the family's 1533-position model. The record is from RNAcentral.
UACCUAUCGAGAGGGGAAUAACCCGGACGAAAGUCGGACUAAUACCGCAGUAAAACAGGGGCACCGCAUGGUGAUAUUUGUUAAAGAAAUUCGCUGAUAGAUGGGCAUGCGUUCCAUUAGGUAGUUGGUGAGUAACGGCUCACCAAGCCGACGAUGGAUAGGGGAACUGAGAGGUUGGUCCCCCACACUGGUACUGAGACACGGACCAGACUCCUACGGGAGGCAGCAGUGAGGAAUAUUGGUCAAUGGGCGGGAGCCUGAACCAGCCAAGUCGCGUGAAAAGGAAGAAGGAUCUAUGGUUCGUAAACUUCUUUUGCAGGGGAAUAAAGUGCAGGACGUGUCCUGUUUUGUAUGUACCCUGAGAAUAAGGAUCGGCUAACUCCGUGCCAGCAGCCGC